This 464-nucleotide ribosomal RNA is filed under the name uncultured bacterium. RNAcentral's name for it is "partial 16S ribosomal RNA". It matches the Rfam family "Bacterial small subunit ribosomal RNA", at positions 28 to 507 of the family's 1533-position model. The record is from RNAcentral.
AUUGAACGCUGGCGGCAGGCCUAACACAUGCAAGUCGAGCGGAUGAAGGGAGCUUGCUCCUGGAUUCAGCGGCGGACGGGUGAGUAAUGCCUAGGAAUCUGCCUGGUAGUGGGGGAUAACGUCCGGAAACGGGCGCUAAUACCGCAUACGUCCUGAGGGAGAAAGUGGGGGAGCUUCGGACCUCACGCUAUCAGAUGAGCCUAGGUCGGAUUAGCUAGUUGGUGGGGUAGAGGCCUACCAAGGCGACGAUGGGUAACUGGUCUGAGAGGGUGAUCAGCCACAUGGGGCCUGCGGUACGGCCCAGUCUCCUAGUGUAGGCAUCAGUGUGGAAUAUUGCACAAUGGGCGGAGGCCUGAUGCAGCAACGCCUCGUGCGGGAUGACGGCCUGCAGGUUGUAAACCGCUUUCGCCGGUGACGAAGCGUGAGUGACGGUAAUGGGUAAAGAAGCACCGGCUAACUACGUG